This is a non-coding RNA of Hordeum vulgare subsp. vulgare (domesticated barley), 79 nucleotides long. The record is from Rfam. NCBI's taxonomy places the organism in Eukaryota, Viridiplantae, Streptophyta, Magnoliopsida, Poales, Poaceae.
AGGAGCCGUGCGAGAUGAAAGUCUCAUGCACGGUUUUGCAUGAGAGAAAGAAGCGCGGAAUCCUCUUUUCGACCCUGAC